GACGAACGCUGGCGGCGUGCCUAAUACAUGCAAGUUGAGCGAUGAAGAUUGGUGCUUGCACCAAUUUGAAGAGCAGCGAACGGGUGAGUAACGCGUGGGGAAUCUGCCUUUGAGCGGGGGACAACAUUUGGAAACGAAUGCUAAUACCGCAUAACAACUUUAAACAUAAGUCUUAAGUUUGAAAGAUGCAAUUGCAUCACUCAAAGAUGAUCCCGCGUUGUAUUAGCUAGUUGGUGAGGUAAAGGCUCACCAAGGCGAUGAUACAUAGCCGACCUGAGAGGGUGAGCGGCCACAUUGGGACUGAGACACGGCCCAAACUCAUACGGGAGGCAGCAGUAGGGAAUCUUCGGCAAUGGACGAAAGUCUGACCGAGCAACGCCGCGUGAGUGAAGAAGGUUUUCGGAUCGUAAAACUCUGUUGGUAGAGAAGAACGUUGGUGAGAGUGGAAAGCUCAUCAAGUGACGGUAACGAACCAGAAAGGGACGGCUAACUACGUG
This 497-nucleotide ribosomal RNA is filed under the name uncultured bacterium. RNAcentral's name for it is "partial 16S ribosomal RNA". It matches the Rfam family "Bacterial small subunit ribosomal RNA", at positions 28 to 507 of the family's 1533-position model. The record is from RNAcentral.